AGUGAACGCUGGCGGUAGGCCUAACACAUGCAGGUCGAACGGCAGCACAGUAAGAGCUUGCUCUUACGGGUGGCGAGUGGCGGACGGGUGAGGAAUACAUCGGAAUCUACUUUUUCGUGGGGGAUAACGUAGGGAAACUUACGCUAAUACCGCAUACGACCUACGGGUGAAAGCAGGGGAUCUUCGGACCUUGCGCGAUUGAAUGAGCCGAUGUCGGAUUAGCUAGUUGGCGGGGUAAAGGCCCACCAAGGCGACGAUCCGUAGCUGGUCUGAGAGGAUGAUCAGCCACACUGGAACUGGGACACGGUCCAGACUCCUACGGGAGGCAGCAGUGGGGAAUAUUGGACAAUGGGCGCAAGCCUGAUCCAGCCAUACCGCGUGGGUGAAGAAGGCCUUCGGGUUGUAAAGCCCUUUGUUGGGAAAGAAAAGCAGCAGGUUAAUACCCCGCUGUUCUGACGGUACCCAAAGAAUAAGCACCGGCUAACUUCGUG
Molecule: ribosomal RNA, 491 nt
Filed under: uncultured bacterium
Lineage: Bacteria
Description: partial 16S ribosomal RNA
Rfam family: Bacterial small subunit ribosomal RNA
Source: RNAcentral